GCGGCAGGCUUAACACAUGCAAGUCGAGGGGUAACAGGGAGAAGCUUGCUUUUCCGCUGACGACCGGCGCACGGGUGCGUAACGCGUAUAGAACCUACCUUUUACAGAGGAAUAGCCCAGAGAAAUUUGGAUUAAUGCCUCAUAGUAUUAUAGAAUGGCAUCAUUUUAUAAUUAAACAUUUAUGGGUAAAAGAUGGCUAUGCGUUCUAUUAGCUAGUUGGUAAGGUAACGGCUUACCAAGGCUACGAUAGAUAGGGGUCCUGAGAGGGAGAUCCCCCACACUGGUACUGAGACACGGACCAGACUCCUACGGGAGGCAGCAGUGAGGAAUAUUGGACAAUGGAGGCAACUCUGAUCCAGCCAUGCCGCGUGCAGGAAGACGGCCCUAUGGGUUGUAAACUGCUUUUAUAUAGGAAGAAACCUUUCCACGUGUGGAAAGCUGACGGUACUAUAAGAAUAAGCACCGGCUAACUCCGUGCCAGCAGCCGCGGUAAUACGGAGGGUGCAAGCGUUAUCCGGAAUCAUUGGGUUUAAAGGGUCCGUAGGCGGACUAAUAAGUCAGGGGUGAAAUCCAACAGCUUAACUGUUGAACUGCCUUUGAUACUGUUAGUCUUGAAUUAUAUGGAAGUAGAUAGAAUGUGUAGUGUAGCGGUGAAAUGCUUAGAGAUUACACAGAAUACCGAUUGCGAAGGCAGUCUACUACGUAUA
Molecule: ribosomal RNA, 707 nt
Filed under: Lutibacter sp.
Lineage: Bacteria; Pseudomonadati; Bacteroidota; Flavobacteriia; Flavobacteriales; Flavobacteriaceae
Description: bacterial SSU rRNA
Rfam family: Bacterial small subunit ribosomal RNA
Source: RNAcentral